Molecule: ribosomal RNA, 305 nt
Filed under: uncultured bacterium
Lineage: Bacteria
Description: partial 16S ribosomal RNA
Rfam family: Bacterial small subunit ribosomal RNA
Source: RNAcentral
ACAGCAGUAGCCGCGGGAAUACGAAGGGGGCUAGCGUUGCUCGGAAUCACUGGGCGUAAAGGGUGCGUAGGCGGGUCUUUAAGUCAGGGGUGAAAUCCUGGAGCUCAACUCCAGAACUGCCUUUGAUACUGAAGAUCUUGAGUUCGGGAGAGGUGAGUGGAACUGCGAGUGUAGAGGUGAAAUUCGUAGAUAUUCGCAAGAACACCAGUGGCGAAGGCGGCUCACUGGCCCGAUACUGACGCUGAGGCACGAAAGCGUGGGGAGCAAACAGGAUUAGAUACCCCCGUAGUCCCUGUCUCUUAUAC